CUCUUCCACACGUCUCCAAGAUUGGACUGAGAGAGCUCAAGAAGAAUCUGUCUUCCAGCGGGUCUGACCUCAAAGAAGUCACCCACACCAGCAUACAUCCAACUGGAGAUGUGCUGAUUAAAAGGGCUGCUGCCAUCUGGAAGGCCCUUGCCCCACCCCAGCCCAAACCAAAAAAGCUUGCUUUUUCUUUUAGCUUGGAAUGUGACCCCCA
Molecule: long non-coding RNA, 211 nt
Filed under: Vombatus ursinus (common wombat)
Lineage: Eukaryota; Metazoa; Chordata; Mammalia; Diprotodontia; Vombatidae
Description: lncRNA (ENSVURG00010018993.1)
Source: RNAcentral